RNAcentral lists this long non-coding RNA (219 nucleotides) under Ixodes scapularis (black-legged tick). RNAcentral describes it as "uncharacterized LOC120847817". Lineage: Eukaryota; Metazoa; Arthropoda; Arachnida; Ixodida; Ixodidae. The record is from RNAcentral.
GCCCUUCUGGCUGCAGAGUCGUGCAGCCACCUCCGACCAGGAGAAAUCAGCAGAAAAGCCUGAUGAAGCAACGGCCGACGAGCCCCCACCACCACCUACGAGAAGAAGUGAGCGACCUCGCAAACUCUCGGUACCCUCUUACAAAGAGCCCAAUGUUAACAGGAAAAUGCGACGCCAGUGAUUGGCAGGACAGCACCUUCCAGAGUCCAGACGAUCAGC